RNAcentral lists this long non-coding RNA (854 nucleotides) under Strigops habroptila (Kakapo). RNAcentral describes it as "lncRNA (ENSSHBG00005011998.1)". Lineage: Eukaryota; Metazoa; Chordata; Aves; Psittaciformes; Psittacidae. The record is from RNAcentral.
CCCAGAAGCAUCUUUUAAUGCGGUCCUCCCUGUUUUCCAUCUGUGUUGCAUGUUAUUCAUUGGGGUCCUCGUUUCCCUCUGAGAGAAGAAGGUGUCAGUGUUGAACCCGGCGCGUAUCCCCGUGUGGUACGUAAUGCUGCUCCCAGACAGACAGCCCUACAUCCUCAAUGGAGAUGACGCUAGUGCUUGAAGGCGAUGUUUUUCCCGCGGACUGCGUGGCUGGUGAGAUGGUAACGCCGAGGCGGGGAGCAGCUUCACAGCUCACUGCCCUCACCCGAGCAACCGCCUGAGAGCGACGUGCCAAAGCCCGGCGGUAGCCCGGUGCCUGCUGCAUCGCUGCAAACGGUGGGAGCAGCGCGCCCACCCGCUGCGGGGGCUCCUCGGGGACCCACCGCCUGCCAGCUUCCCUCUGCCAUCCUCUGCGGCGGCCUGUCCCCACGUACACGUGUCUGGGAAAGCAUCCUCUGGUUGGGUCCCGAGGCUUCAAAUCUGGCCAGAAAAGAACAACAGGAGCUGGAAGAGGUCAGCGGAUACCCCGGAGGUGGCUGUAGCAGCAUAAAGUCACCAGACCAGGGAUUUGCAGAACAUUUAGUGAAAGAGUUCAAUAAAAGCUGUUUCCCCAUUUGCAGAAGGGCUUAUGUCUCUGGGUGUUUCUGCCUGCAUAACCAGACAGUGACUGGGGGUUUAUAUGUGCUAUAAAUCAGCAGCUCUAAUUCCCCAAGUCUUCUACCUGAGCUGUUUUCUAUCUGGACAGGUAUUACCAAAAUUAGGCCUUUCUGCAUUCAGGCACAGAGGCAGAAAGGGAGCCUACUGCAGGUAUUUGGGUGGCUUACAAGGCCUUGCGAAGUGCAGCU